CACGCGGUCGCUGGGCAGCGGACUCCUGGGCUGCAGGUGGCCCGCGGGCUGAUCCAGGAAAUGCAUUUGUAGGUCUCAGGAACUCUGAAGGAGGCCCUUAAAAAAAGUAACUCAAAAUGGAUGAUAAACGUGAAAGCUGAAACUCUUAAGUACAUUUCUAGAAGAAAACAUUGAGAGAAAAAUCUUCAUGAUUUUGAGACACCAUGAAGAAAAUGAAAAGGCAAGCCAUAAACGGGAAGGAGGAAUUUCGAAUACGAUAUAUUUGACAAAAGACUUGAAUCCAGAAUACAUAAAGAACUCUUGUAAAUGAAUAAGAUGAACAACCCGAACAAACAAUGGGCAAGAGGUUUUACUAAACAAUUCACCGAAGAAGAUAUAAAAAUGGCCAAUAAGCAACAAAGCGGUGCUUGGUAUCUUUAAUCAUCCAGGGAUCUUCACGCUAAAACCGCAAUAAGAUGCCUCUGCACUCUCACUACAGUAGCUGAAAUUAUAAAAACUGAUGACCCAGCGACCACAUUCGUACACAUCUCCUUAACUAUACUUAAGCUCCAAAUAAAGAUAAUAACAAAGUCAUACUUGCGCCUAACAUGAUACGACUCAGCUGCAUACAACCAAAACACCACAACACUUUCCACAAAAGAGGAUGCAAACUUUCCGAGUGAUACCCCCUUUCUGCUUUUGACAUCCUGUAACUUAAU
Dama dama (fallow deer) is the source of this 698-nucleotide long non-coding RNA. RefSeq lists it as uncharacterized. NCBI's taxonomy places the organism in Eukaryota, Metazoa, Chordata, Mammalia, Artiodactyla, Cervidae. The transcript is spliced from 3 exons. The record is from RefSeq and is a predicted model, not a curated record.